This 677-nucleotide non-coding RNA is filed under the name Gossypium hirsutum (cotton). Its description in RNAcentral is "Bacterial large subunit ribosomal RNA". It matches the Rfam family "Bacterial large subunit ribosomal RNA", at positions 2169 to 2925 of the family's 2925-position model. Lineage: Eukaryota; Viridiplantae; Streptophyta; Magnoliopsida; Malvales; Malvaceae. The record is from Rfam by way of RNAcentral.
UCACAAUUAAUAUUAUGCGUGAAAAAUAAGACCAAAAACUAUGGCUAAAUUGACUAACCUUUGUUAACACACCUAUGGGUUAAAAGGAUAGUUUCUACGGGGCGUAAGCCUCCCAAAAGGUAAUGGAGGUGUGUAAAGGUUUUCUCGAGUCAGAUGAAGAUUGCCCUCGAGUGCAAAGUUAGAAAGAAGUUUAAUUGUAAGACCCACCUAUCUAGUAAGGACGAAAGUCAGCUUUAGUGAUUUGAUUGUGCCGAGUGGAAGGGUCGUCGCUCAAUAGAUUAAAGUUACUCUAGAGAUAAUAGGCUACUCUUCCCUAAGAGCUCACAUCAAUGGAAAGGUUUGGCACAUCGAUUUCGGCUCUUCGUCACUUGAGGCUAUAGUAUAUUCCAAGGGUUGGGUUGUUCGCCUAUUAAAGUGAUAUGUGAGCUGGGUUCAGAACAUCCUGAGACAGUUUGUUCCAUUUCUGGUGUGGGCGUUAAAGCAUUGAGAAGACCUUUCCCUAGUACAAGAAGAUUGAGAAGAACGCACCUUUGGUGUACCAGUUAUCAUGUCUACGAUAAACGCUAGGUAGCCAAGUUUGAAAUGUCAUCCAAACAUUGAAGCUAAAUUAGGAAAAUAACGGAAGUGCGCCUCAAGAUAGGAAAGACUAAGUUUCAAGACUUGAACCCCAAAGUCAC